GACGAACGCUGGCGGCGUGCCUAACACAUGCAAGUCAACUUGACUGAAGGAGCAAUCUGACAGUAGAGUGGCGCAAGGGUGCGUAACGCGUAAGUAACUUGCCCCAAGGUAAGGAAUAACGUCGAGAAAUCGGCGCUAAUACCUCAUAAUGCAGCGGAUCCGCAUGGAUAUGUUGUUAAAGGUUUACCGCCUUGGGAUAGGCUUGCGUCUGAUUAGCUAGUUGGUGUGGUAACGGCACACCAAGGCUACGAUCAGUAACUGGUCUGAGAGGAUGAUCAGUCACACUGGAACUGAGACACGGUCCAGACUCCUACGGGAGGCAGCAGUGAGGAAUAUUGGGCAAUGCUCGAAAGAGUGACCCAGCAACGCCGCGUGGAGGAUGAAGGUAUUCUAUAUCGUAAACUCCUGUGAGAGCAGACG
RNAcentral lists this ribosomal RNA (420 nucleotides) under uncultured bacterium. RNAcentral describes it as "bacterial SSU rRNA". It matches the Rfam family "Bacterial small subunit ribosomal RNA", at positions 28 to 447 of the family's 1533-position model. The record is from RNAcentral.